Molecule: ribosomal RNA, 253 nt
Filed under: uncultured bacterium
Lineage: Bacteria
Description: partial 16S ribosomal RNA
Rfam family: Bacterial small subunit ribosomal RNA
Source: RNAcentral
UACGUAGGGACCGAGCGUUGUCCGGAAUCAUUGGGCGUAAAGAGCGUGUAGGCGGCUCGCUAAGUCUUGCGUGAAAUCUCGGGGCUCAACCCCGAGCGGUCGUGAGAAACUGGCGGGCUAGAGUGCGGGAGAGGAGAGUGGAAUUCCUGGUGUAGCGGUGAAAUGCGCAGAUAUCAGGAGGAACACCGAUUGCGAAGGCAGCUCGCUGGAACGUUACUGACGCUGAGACGCGAAAGCGUGGGGAGCAAACAGG